CCUACGGGAGGCAGCAGUGGGGAAUAUUGCGCAAUGGGCGAAAGCCUGAAGCAGCGACGCCGCGUGAGGGAUGAAGGUCUUCGGAGCGUAAAACUCUGUCAGCAGGGAAGAACGGUCAGGGAGGUAAACAGCAGUGAAUGGACGGUACGAGCAAAGGAAGCACAGGCUAACGCCGUGCCAGCAGCCGCGGUAAUACGGAGGGUGCGAGUGUUAAUCGGAAUGACUGGGAGUAACGCGCGCGUAGGCGGUAUGUCAAGUCAAGGGUGAAAUCGCCGCGCUCAACGUGGGAACUGCCUUUGAUACUGUCAAACUGGAGUGUGUGUGCGGUUAGUGGAAUGCCUGUUGU
This 346-nucleotide ribosomal RNA is filed under the name uncultured bacterium. RNAcentral describes it as "partial 16S ribosomal RNA". It matches the Rfam family "Bacterial small subunit ribosomal RNA", at positions 338 to 676 of the family's 1533-position model. The record is from RNAcentral.